Spinacia oleracea (spinach) is the source of this 3202-nucleotide RNA transcript. It is a transcript of the gene named pentatricopeptide repeat-containing protein At4g39620, chloroplastic, with no coding region annotated. NCBI's taxonomy places the organism in Eukaryota, Viridiplantae, Streptophyta, Magnoliopsida, Caryophyllales, Amaranthaceae. The record is from RefSeq and is a predicted model, not a curated record. The transcript has 3 exons.
AAUCAAAUUAUAUCCCGUGUUUGGGUGUUCGGUGUUCCACACUAUUUCUACCCCCAUCUAUCUACUCCCUCUUUUUUCCCUCCAAAACCCCCAAUUUCGGAAACUCCUAAGUUCAGCCAAUUGAAAUGUCCCCAAAUGCUGUAAUUGGGAUUCUUCAAAACCCUAUAAAUCCAAAUUAUUUGACCCAUUUCUCUCUUUCUUCUUCUUCACCCUACUCUCAAAUUGCUUCAUACCCAUUUGUUGUAUUGCAAAAAUCUUCAAUAAAAUUAAAAUCCAGCCUCAAAAUUAGCUGUAAUUCGUCCAGGUCCCACAAAAGAUCUGUUUCAAAGAGUGAUAAUUCCGAGGCAUAUGAACUUGUUCGUGUAAUUUUGAGGAAUUUCAGUGAUAAAGAGCCCUUGUUAUCAACUUUGAACAAAUAUGUUAAACUUUUGAGGACGGAGCAUUGUUUUAUGCUCUUUGAAGAACUGGGUAAAAGUGAUAAUUGGCUUCAAUGUCUCGAGGUUUUUAGAUGGAUGCAGAAACAAAGGUGGUAUAUUGCAGACAAUGGUAUAUAUUCAAAAUUGAUUUCGGUUAUGGGGAGGAAAGGUCAAACUAGGAUGGCAAUGUGGCUUUUCUCAGAGAUGCGUAACAGUGGAUGUCGGCCUGACACCUCUGUUUACAACGCUCUCAUAACAGCACAUCUACACUCUCGUGACAAGUCUAAGGCCUUGGAAAAAGGUCUCGGAUAUUUCAAUAAGAUGAAGGGGAUGGAGCGCUGUAAGCCAAGUAUCGUGACAUACAAUAUUCUCUUAAGAGCCUUUGCACAAGCACGGAAUGUUAAUCAAGUUAAUGCACUGUUUAAGGAUCUUGAAGAGAGCAUAGUUUCACCUGAUAUUUUCACAUUCAAUGGUGUGAUGGAUGCAUAUGGGAAAAAUGGGAUGAUCAGAGAAAUGGAAGAUGUUUUGUCUCGCAUGAAAAGCAAUCAAUGUAAGCCUGAUAUAAUCACUUUUAAUCUGCUGAUUGAUGCCUAUGGAAAGAGACAAGAAUUUGAGAAGAUGGAGCAAGUUUUCAAGAGCUUGUUACGUUCUAAGGAGAGGCCAACACUUCCCACAUUUAAUUCAAUGAUUGUCAACUAUGGGAAGGCACGGCUUCGAGAGAAAGCGGAGAGCAUUUUCCAUAAUAUAACCAGUAUGGGAUACACCCCUAAUUAUAUUACAUAUGAGAGUGUCAUUGUGAUGUAUGGAUUAUGUGACUAUGUUUCGAGAGCAAGGGAAACAUUUGAUGGGAUCAUUGCAUCUAAGAAGGAGUUGAAAGUGUCAACACUGAAUGCUAUGUUAGAUGUUUACUGCUUGAAUAGCUUACCAAUGGAGGCAGACAUGCUCCUGGACAGUGCACGAGAUUAUGGUGUCCACCCGAAUUCUUCGACUUAUAAGCUUCUUUACAAAGCUUACACUAAGGCAAACAUGAAAGAUCUUUUACAGAAGUUGUUAAAGUGUAUGGAUCAAGAUGGUAUAGUUCCUAAUAAGAGGUUUUUUUUAGAAGCACUAGGAGCAUUUGGGUCAUCAACAACUACUAAAAAACCUGCUUCUAGAAGUACAGAUAAGAGGAAAAAUACAGAUGCGCAUAACCAACAGGCAGCUGGGAAGACAUAAUUGCAUAUUUUGAGACAUUAGUCAUCUGAUCUACGGGCUCCAAUGAAUUCUGCCAAUUCAGCUAAUGUUGAGAAGACCACUUGAAUACUUAAGUGAGUUUUGGCACCCAACAAUAAUCACGCUAACAACAUUAUUUACCCUUCAAUUUAGGGGUUGAAGGGUUCCACAGUUUUUCAUCGAGAAUAAAAUUUGCUGUUGGUGGUGUUGGGGGAUAAAACAUUCAAUAUUGGAACUGGAAACAACAAUUUGUAUCCACUGUAUAACAGGGUUGGACUCUCCUUGGCCUAUAAGCAUAUACACUUAAAUAUUAAUUUGGUGUAUAUUUGUGUUUGCAGCUAAUAUGUAUUGUAUUCCUCUCCAUAAACUCACUUAGUGUCCGUUAAGACUUAGGGCAUGCUUGGAUUGAAGGUAAUGUAUUAAAGGGGUAAUAAAAGUCAAAUUAAAGUAAUUGAAGGUGAUGAUGAGGGGAUGUAGUGGUGGUAAAGGGAACAAGCUAGUGUUGGCAAGAAGAAAAUAAAAGGGAAGGGGGAACAAAUACCUUCAUCAUGGGGGGAAUAGUUAUCCACCAUCCCACUAGGGUGAUUAUUACCCUCAUUUAGGGGGUAAUUACUUCCCCCCUUCCUCCCUUCUCCUCACAACACCACCACUACCACAACUUCUCAUCACAAUACCACCACACCACCCUCCUUGCAACCACCUCAAUUCACCUACAUUGUCUUUUUAUUAUGGUGGUUUGACUUUUAUUACCCCCAUAAUCCAUUACACCCAAUCCAAGUGUGCCCUUAAGACCCACUUUAUGGACAAAAACCUUGAUUUGGGCCCUGUAGGGUUUGAGGCAUACAAAUCUCUCUUAAACAAGAUCUCUAUUUCUAGACUUCACUAAUAUCCCAGGUCUCAACUCUCAAGACUCACAACUCCUAAUAGACAUGGAAUAAUCGGACAAUUUGACACAAGAAUCUCAUGCUUACCAAAAAUGCACCUCCUUAAUAAGUCAACUAAAUGUUGUAUCCCAUUAACUCUAUGGAAAUAAUCCCAAUAAGUAGCUUUUUAAUCUUUUGGGAUGCGUAUCACAACUUUGAAACUUAGAGUCAGCAACAAGUAUGAAGUACAGAACUCUUUUUUGUUUUUAUUUGCUCAUAAUGAAAGUGUAGGUGUCCAUAUCCAUGUUAAUAUGUUAUAGGUUGAGGAUCAUAAUCCUACGUAGAUGCUUAGGUGAAAUAAAAAGUCUGAUUAUUUAGGAAUUUUCCAAGACAUACUUAAGGGGAAAGUGCAAUAAGAAGUCACUUAAAAUGAGAAGGUUGGGAUGGAAAUCGGCAACCCUAUAUUACUUCGUGAAAGAGAUGCAACUUUUUUGUUACUAGGAGCAAUCUGCAGAAUCUAUUACCUUAGAAAACCAUUGUUAAUGGGUUAAAGUUCAAUUGAGGAAUCUGUUUAGAAUAUAUUGAGAUAGUCACGGGGCCGUCGGUCUGGUAUUAAGAAAUGCAGAACUGCUAGUCGCCUAGUACUAUAUUGCAUUCGUUCUAAGAUGUUGGCUGAAUCUUUUGCUUGCUUCAUCAAUUUUCCUGAACAUA